Molecule: transfer RNA, 71 nt
Filed under: Dipodomys ordii (Ord's kangaroo rat)
Lineage: Eukaryota; Metazoa; Chordata; Mammalia; Rodentia; Heteromyidae
Rfam family: tRNA
About the family: Transfer RNA (tRNA) molecules are approximately 80 nucleotides in length. Their secondary structure includes four short double-helical elements and three loops (D, anti-codon, and T loops).
Source: Rfam by way of RNAcentral
GGAGGUGUAGCUCAGCAGUAGCGUGCCUGCCUGGCAAGCGUGAGGCCUGGGUUCCAAUCCUAGUACUGCCA